Molecule: long non-coding RNA, 1830 nt
Organism: Anopheles funestus (African malaria mosquito)
Lineage: Eukaryota; Metazoa; Arthropoda; Insecta; Diptera; Culicidae
Exons: 3
Source: RefSeq, a predicted model, not a curated record
UCGGUUGCGUGUUUUUUAAUUAUGUUUCGAGACACAGACACCUGAGGGCAUGGCCGUCGAAGAAGAAAAUGUAGCAAUUGGUGCCAUCUAUCGACCACAGGUCAAAGAUUGGCGAUCCGUUGGAGCUUUUGCGAAUAGCUCCGGCCACAGACAUGGUAGCGAUUAGUGGUGCAUGGACGAAAUCUAGCCACAAGUGCCAUCUAGCCAUGGCCAGAAGAAAGUGUGGCGAUAUCUUGGAUACCGGCGGAGCUAUGGGGCAAAGUUGGGCCAAAAAUGAGGAAAAUUUUACGGUUGCACAAACAGCGUAUGGAACUUGGUUCCUCGAUGAAUAAAUCACUUUUCACUAUGCGAAAACCUCCUUACAAUUUAAUAGUAAUUGUAAAAAAAAUCAAAUUCAAGCCACAUUGCAUAGUCUCCGAACCACCCUGUACGAAAAAUUGACACGCAGAUGAGUGACCGUGAGUGGGGGGGGGUCGUGUUUCAGACUUUAGCCAAAAAUUAUUUGAAAUAAACACGGAAACUGCCGUGUACAGGGGCCUUAAACGCUUCAAGCGUUCAUUAGCUGUCAAGGGAAGGAGUAGGAAUUCUCUUUCUUUUUACGAAACGUUUAACCACAUGUUAAUAUUUAGUUAGAAGCAUUUCUGUCAUGGCGGUUUGUGGGUUAGUUGGAAAUGGUGCAGUUCUGGUAAUUCUUUAGUUUUUCAUUAAAAAUGUCAGUAAAAGUGCAGUGAAGGUCAUUUUAGUGAAGUUAACGUGGUUAUCAGUGUUCAUAAAAGUUGAAAUUCGCCUAAAUAGUGCAGGAUAGGAGUGUAAAGUGUAAGUUAACAGUGUCAAGGCUGGAAAACGGUUCCGUUUAGUGCAGUGUGAUAGUGGUGUGUGGUGUUCGCUAAAUGGCAAUCACCGGGUGACCGAUUAUAGUUAAAAGUAUGUUCUUCCUUGUAUAAUCGAAACUAAAAGUUCGUCUGUAAUUGCAAGCGGCAUGCAUGGAGCGGCUUGGAAAAAGGAUGUAAUCGCAUUACUUUUAAUGCGAUGUUCACCAGCCUGCAGGAUUUGGUUCCCAGCUAACAGUGAGUAAUAUUUUAAAAUAUGUGAGCCUGCAAAGAAAACAUUGAAGGGGUUAUCUGAAGGUGAGUUGAAAACGAAUUAAUAUUAACCUUCAUUUCACUGGUAUAUCUCAGGUUUAAACCAUUGAAAUGAUUUCAAAUUUUCUGUGAAGGUGGAAAAUACGUUUUUCUAUGCUAUUUAAGAAAAUCAGAAUUUUAAAAAUUCUGUUUCAUAUAUUUUCUUUCAUUCAAACUUUGUAUACCCCUUACUUCUAUUACCACCUACCAGGGUAGGUCAUACAUUUUGUUUGGGAGUUUGCGUUUCUACGCAGUUAAUCGUCUAUAUCUCAGGAUUAAGCCAUUGAAAUGAUUUCAAAUUUUCUGUGAAGGUGGAAAAUACGUUUUUCUAUGCCAUUUAAAAAAAUCAGAAUUUUAAAAAUUCUGUUUCAUAUAUUUUCUUCCAUUCAUACUUGUUAUACUCUUUUCUUCUAUAACCACUUACUAGGGUACGUCAUACAUUUUUAUGGCCACCGCUUUUAGCUACUGAAAUGACUUCAAGCUUUCGGUGCUAUGUAACAAACUGUUUUAUGUAACAUUUUUCAGAUACGACAGUUCUAAAGAAUGCAUAAUACAUUUCAGUCCGGUCUUCACAAUUCAUAUAGCAAAAAACUUUAAGGCUAGUAGAAAUAAAGAAAAAAUCUUUAAAAUUCGUAUUACAUUACAUUACAUUCCUAUUUACAUUGAUUACAGUAGAUUUUGUUCCACGAGUGACUGAUUUUUCGAGCAG